This 453-nucleotide ribosomal RNA is filed under the name uncultured Porphyromonadaceae bacterium. RNAcentral describes it as "partial 16S ribosomal RNA". It matches the Rfam family "Bacterial small subunit ribosomal RNA", at positions 341 to 792 of the family's 1533-position model. Lineage: Bacteria; Pseudomonadati; Bacteroidota; Bacteroidia; Bacteroidales; Porphyromonadaceae. The record is from RNAcentral.
ACGGGAGGCAGCAGUGAGGAAUAUUGGUCAAUGGGCGGAAGCCUGAACCAGCCAAGUCGCGUGAAGGAUGAAGGUAUUAUGUAUUGUAAACUUCUUUAGAUGCAGAGAAAUAAGCCCCUCGUGAGGGGUGAUGCUAGUAUGCAUAGAAUAAGGAUCGGCUAACUCCGUGCCAGCAGCCGCGGUAAUACGGAGGAUCCGAGCGUUAUCCGGAUUUAUUGGGUUUAAAGGGUGCGCAGGCGGCUUUUUAAGUCAGUGGUUAAAUCGUGACGCUCAACGUCAUCACGCCAUUGAUACUGGAGAGCUUGAUUGCGGUCGAGGUUUGCGGAAUUCGUUGUGUAGCGGUGAAAUGCAUAGAUAUGACGAAGAACACCGAUUGCGUAGGCAGCAGACCAGGCCGUAAAUGACGCUCAUGCACGAAAGUGCGGGGAUCGAACAGGAUUAGAUACCCUGGUA